RNAcentral lists this RNase P RNA (359 nucleotides) under pig gut metagenome. RNAcentral describes it as "Bacterial RNase P class A". It matches the Rfam family "Bacterial RNase P class A". From Rfam's summary of the family: Ribonuclease P (RNase P) is a ubiquitous endoribonuclease, found in archaea, bacteria and eukarya as well as chloroplasts and mitochondria. Its best characterised activity is the generation of mature 5'-ends of tRNAs by cleaving the 5'-leader elements of precursor-tRNAs. The record is from RNAcentral.
CCGGUCGCUGCCUUUAAAGGUAGAGGAAAGUCCGGACUCCGCAGGGCAGAGGACCCGCUUGUUAAAGGCGGGAGGCGCCGGGUAAGCCGGCGUUAUGGAAAGUGCCACAGAGAAUAGACAGCGGGGCUUGCCCCGUGAUGGUGAAAGGGUGGGGUAAGAGCCCACCGGCCUGAUUGAAACGUCGGGCGCACGGAAAACCCUCCUCGGAGCAAGAUCAAAUAGGGAAUCGACGGGCUGCCCGUCCGGCGCAGGUUCUUGGAACCUGCUUGAGAUUCCGGGUUGAUCGCGUAGAUGAAUGAUCGGACCUUCUGUUAUCACUUGCGGAAACAGGGGGGAACAGAAUCUGGCUUAUUCGCCGC